UGGGGGAGGCGGCAGUGCGGAGUUUCGACAAUGAGGGCAAACGUGAUCCACCCAUCCCGCGUGUGAGAUGAAGGCCUUCGGAUUGUAAAGCACUUUUGGCAGGGAAGAACAGCCUGGGAUAAUACCUUGGGCGAAUGACGGUACCUGCAGAAUAAGCACCGGCUAACUACGUGCCAGCAGCCGCGGUAAUACGUAGGGUGCAAGCGUUAAUCGGAAUUACUGGGCGUAAAGCGUGCGCAGGCGGUUCGGAAAGAAAGGUGUGAAAUCCCAGGGCUUAACCUUGGAACUGCACUUUUAACUCCCGAGCUAGAGUACGUCAGAGGGGGGUAGAAUUCCACGUGUAGCAGUGAAAUGCGUAGAGAUGUGGAGGAAUACCGAUGGCGAAGGCAGCCCCCUGGGAUGAUACUGACGCUCAUGCACGAAAGCGUGGGGAGCAAACAGGAUUAGAUACCCUGGUAGUC
Molecule: ribosomal RNA, 461 nt
Filed under: uncultured bacterium
Lineage: Bacteria
Description: bacterial SSU rRNA
Rfam family: Bacterial small subunit ribosomal RNA
Source: RNAcentral